UGCGCGGAUUAUCCAAAAAAUUGUCUUUCAAAUAAAGACAACGUGACGAUAAAACAAAUGUUUUGUGUGUCGUUUGAACGUUUGUUUUUAUUAUUCUUUUAUUAUGCCUGGGUUGCUAUACUAAACAGCAAUAGCAUUCGCCUUAUAAUGACACACUCCAAUACAGUGGCUGAGAUCUUGUGCAAAAUCAUUGUAGCCUACAAUGAUGUGCGGCUGGAGGGAAUGUUAGUGCUCUUGCUUUUUAAAUGUAUUUGUGAGGUGAAGCUGGUUGGAGUAGCAGUCUCAAUCAGGACAAUCUGCGACCGGGAUCACGUGAACAAAUAUGCUUGUAUUUUAAGGCAGCGCCUUUAUUUGUCAUGAUAAGGUUUCCGAAAUAUAGUAAUGUCGACUCGUGCGGCGAGCCUGCCUCUGUAAAAUCUUCUUUUCUUUUUUUCCAAUGGGAAGUUGAUUGCUAGUAAUAUUUCGUUUUGGAAUAAGAAGACCUUCUUGGCUUUUUAUUGGUAGCUGAGUGAGUGGCUCCCAUUCUUUCGGGAAUACUGUCUGCAUUGGUAUAUGGAAAUGACUGGAAAAGCGCGAGAUCAGUUUUAAGACAGUACUGUCUAUAGACAAAGGGUGAAGGAUAUAUCCGAGCAGCUGUACUGAGAUAUAUUGAGACUAAGAAGCACGGCUAUAUAAUAAAUUGACAUCACAGGUCGCCGUAUAAAUUAUGAAGAUUGCUUGAGGAGAAAGAGGGGAGAGGAAACCACAGACUGCGCAGGUCAAAGGACAGAAGAUCUGUGGGAAGCUCCAAUCACGUGAUUGACAAGUCCAUGCAACAGGAGUUCACAGGCUCUCUUAGUUUGAAC
Molecule: long non-coding RNA, 845 nt
Organism: Rhinichthys klamathensis goyatoka
Lineage: Eukaryota; Metazoa; Chordata; Actinopteri; Cypriniformes; Leuciscidae
Exons: 3
Source: RefSeq, a predicted model, not a curated record